AGGGGAAAAAUGCUGCUGAAAACCACUUG
RNAcentral lists this non-coding RNA (29 nucleotides) under Rattus norvegicus (Norway rat). The record is from RNAcentral. Lineage: Eukaryota; Metazoa; Chordata; Mammalia; Rodentia; Muridae.